Non-coding RNA from Caenorhabditis elegans, 21 nucleotides. NCBI's taxonomy places the organism in Eukaryota, Metazoa, Nematoda, Chromadorea, Rhabditida, Rhabditidae. The record is from Ensembl.
UGAUGUAGAGAUUCCAGUUCC